UUGGAGGGCAAGUCUGGUGCCAGCAGCCGCGGUAAUUCCAGCUCCAAUAGCGUAUAUUAAAGUUGCUGCAGUUAAAAAGCUCGUAGUUGAAUUUCGGGAUCAAUACGUUGGUCGUGCCUCGGUACGUACUAGCUUAUUGGUUUCUCCCUUCUGACGAACCAUGAUGUCAUUUAUUUGGUGUUAUGGGAAAUCAGGACUGUUACUUUGAAAAAAUUAGAGUGUUUAAAGCAGGCUCACGCUUGAAUACAUUAGCAUGGAAUAAUGAAAUAGGACGUUUGAUUCUAUUUUGUUGGUUUCUAGGAUCGACGUAAUGAUUAAUAGGGAUAGUUGGGGGCAUUAGUAUUCAAUUGUCAGAGGUGAAAUUCUUGGAUUUAUUGAAGACUAACUACUGCGAAAGCAUUUGCCAAGGAUGUUUUCAUUAAUCAAGAACGAAAGUUAGGGGAUCGAAGACGAUCAGAUACCGUCGUAGUCUUAACCAUAAACUAUGCCGACUAGGGAUCAGAUGAUGUUAAUUUUUUAAUGACUCAUUCGGCGCCUUACGGGAAAC
This 547-nucleotide ribosomal RNA is filed under the name uncultured Glomus. RNAcentral's name for it is "SSU rRNA". It matches the Rfam family "Eukaryotic small subunit ribosomal RNA", at positions 548 to 1098 of the family's 1831-position model. The record is from RNAcentral. Lineage: Eukaryota; Fungi; Glomeromycota; Glomeromycetes; Glomerales; Glomeraceae.